Sapajus apella (tufted capuchin) is the source of this 350-nucleotide long non-coding RNA. RefSeq lists it as uncharacterized. The transcript is spliced from 2 exons. The record is from RefSeq and is a predicted model, not a curated record. Lineage: Eukaryota; Metazoa; Chordata; Mammalia; Primates; Cebidae.
GGCCCUGAUCUGACUUUUUAAAAGCUUCUUACUCUCCUGAAAUUUCUAGUUACCAAAUAGAAAGACCCAAAAUUCAGAAAACUAGGGCUCAACAAUGGUAGAAUAAUGAAGAGAACUUUCUGGAUAAUGGCUGUAAAACAGGGCUGGGAAAACACCUAAUUCAGAUGAAAGCCACUAACAGGAGUUCACUAAGAAGGAGUCUCCAGGCAAACUAUCACCUAAUGCUUGGAGUGGAAGAAAAUUACUGACAGUUUAAAAUUUAAGAAACCUUUAACAAAUCCAAGUUUUUUUUCUGUGUUUUCUGCUGUAAGUUUAGCUCUUGUGUUUAGAUAAAUGAUCAGUUUUGCCCU